RNAcentral lists this ribosomal RNA (119 nucleotides) under Lepisosteus oculatus (spotted gar). The record is from RNAcentral. Lineage: Eukaryota; Metazoa; Chordata; Actinopteri; Semionotiformes; Lepisosteidae.
CAAAUCAGCCAUAUCACCCUGCAACUCACAACUGGUAACCCACUGAAGCUAAGCAGGUGUGAGCCUGGUCAGUACCUGGAUGGGAGACCUCCUGGGAAAAACUAAGGUUGCUGCUGGAA